RNA transcript from Fragaria vesca subsp. vesca, 836 nucleotides. RefSeq lists it as uncharacterized. Lineage: Eukaryota; Viridiplantae; Streptophyta; Magnoliopsida; Rosales; Rosaceae. The record is from RefSeq and is a predicted model, not a curated record. The transcript has a single exon.
CCCAAUUCAUCAUUCCACUCUCUUCACGCUUAUCCCCGCCAAUUUCACUAUCACCAGCUAUAAAUAGCUCAAUGCAGUGCCUCUAACAUGUGUACCAAGCUUGACGAUUUCACUAGAGUUUGAGAAAUGGGUAAUUACAGUUUGAAGUGCUUGUUGCUAUCUGGUUUGCUUGUUUCAACCAUUGCCAUGCAACUUUCCGAAGGUCGAGUGGCAAGAAAAGACCUCGGGAUAGACCUUGGAGGUGUUGCUGUUGGAAUCGGUACCGGGGGUGGCAUUGGUCUUGGUGGGAGUGGUUCAGGCGCCGGCGCAGGAUCUGGGUCUGGGUCUGGAUCCGGAUCAAGUUCGGAGUCAAGUUCAAGCUCAUAUUCUUCCUCAAGGUCAAAUUCAGGGUCAGGAUCAUCGGGUGGGGGUCUGAAGCUGGUUCUUCUGCUGGAUCUUAUGCUGGGUCUAGGGCUGGAUCAAGCUCCGGGAAUCAAGGCCAUGGAUAAGUUUCUUCCGAUCCAAUACUUAUAGAUGCGGCUCUCUAGGACAUGCAUGAAAUUAUCUAGGACGAAAAUUAUUGGCAUGCAUCACCUAGUUAUUAUUAUGACAAAAUAAGUAAAAAGAUCGAUAUCGUUUCCUAUGAGAAACCUAAAAAAAAGAGUUAGAUUGUGUGGAGUGUAUAUGUGUAUGUCUGAAUUAUACUUAAUUAUGUACUACGUAAAAUCAAAUACAUGAGUGGUCGUUGUCAAUAAAAGCAUGGACUGGUUUAGAUUGAUAGUUCUCAUUCGUUUAUGUAGCCAUUCCAUUUGGCUUUGUGUGUGUUUUUAUCUAACUCUAUUACAUGUUAUCAAUUU